This 1540-nucleotide ribosomal RNA is filed under the name Klebsiella pneumoniae subsp. rhinoscleromatis. RNAcentral's name for it is "16S ribosomal RNA". It matches the Rfam family "Bacterial small subunit ribosomal RNA". The record is from RNAcentral. Lineage: Bacteria; Pseudomonadati; Pseudomonadota; Gammaproteobacteria; Enterobacterales; Enterobacteriaceae.
AAAUUGAAGAGUUUGAUCAUGGCUCAGAUUGAACGCUGGCGGCAGGCCUAACACAUGCAAGUCGAGCGGUAGCACAGAGAGCUUGCUCUCGGGUGACGAGCGGCGGACGGGUGAGUAAUGUCUGGGAAACUGCCUGAUGGAGGGGGAUAACUACUGGAAACGGUAGCUAAUACCGCAUAAUGUCGCAAGACCAAAGUGGGGGACCUUCGGGCCUCAUGCCAUCAGAUGUGCCCAGAUGGGAUUAGCUUGUAGGUGGGGUAACGGCUCACCUAGGCGACGAUCCCUAGCUGGUCUGAGAGGAUGACCAGCCACACUGGAACUGAGACACGGUCCAGACUCCUACGGGAGGCAGCAGUGGGGAAUAUUGCACAAUGGGCGCAAGCCUGAUGCAGCCAUGCCGCGUGUGUGAAGAAGGCCUUCGGGUUGUAAAGCACUUUCAGCGGGGAGGAAGGCGGUGAGGUUAAUAACCUCAUCGAUUGACGUUACCCGCAGAAGAAGCACCGGCUAACUCCGUGCCAGCAGCCGCGGUAAUACGGAGGGUGCAAGCGUUAAUCGGAAUUACUGGGCGUAAAGCGCACGCAGGCGGUCUGUCAAGUCGGAUGUGAAAUCCCCGGGCUCAACCUGGGAACUGCAUUCGAAACUGGCAGGCUAGAGUCUUGUAGAGGGGGGUAGAAUUCCAGGUGUAGCGGUGAAAUGCGUAGAGAUCUGGAGGAAUACCGGUGGCGAAGGCGGCCCCCUGGACAAAGACUGACGCUCAGGUGCGAAAGCGUGGGGAGCAAACAGGAUUAGAUACCCUGGUAGUCCACGCCGUAAACGAUGUCGAUUUGGAGGUUGUGCCCUUGAGGCGUGGCUUCCGGAGCUAACGCGUUAAAUCGACCGCCUGGGGAGUACGGCCGCAAGGUUAAAACUCAAAUGAAUUGACGGGGGCCCGCACAAGCGGUGGAGCAUGUGGUUUAAUUCGAUGCAACGCGAAGAACCUUACCUGGUCUUGACAUCCACAGAACUUAGCAGAGAUGCUUUGGUGCCUUCGGGAACUGUGAGACAGGUGCUGCAUGGCUGUCGUCAGCUCGUGUUGUGAAAUGUUGGGUUAAGUCCCGCAACGAGCGCAACCCUUAUCCUUUGUUGCCAGCGGUCCGGCCGGGAACUCAAAGGAGACUGCCAGUGAUAAACUGGAGGAAGGUGGGGAUGACGUCAAGUCAUCAUGGCCCUUACGACCAGGGCUACACACGUGCUACAAUGGCAUAUACAAAGAGAAGCGACCUCGCGAGAGCAGGCGGACCUCAUAAAGUAUGUCGUAGUCCGGAUUGGAGUCUGCAACUCGACUCCAUGAAGUCGGAAUCGCUAGUAAUCGUAGAUCAGAAUGCUACGGUGAAUACGUUCCCGGGCCUUGUACACACCGCCCGUCACACCAUGGGAGUGGGUUGCAAAAGAAGUAGGUAGCUUAACCUUCGGGAGGGCGCUUACCACUUUGUGAUUCAUGACUGGGGUGAAGUCGUAACAAGGUAACCGUAGGGGAACCUGCGGUUGGAUCACCUCCUUA